Molecule: ribosomal RNA, 506 nt
Filed under: uncultured bacterium
Lineage: Bacteria
Description: partial 16S ribosomal RNA
Rfam family: Bacterial small subunit ribosomal RNA
Source: RNAcentral
GAUGAACGCUAGCGGCAGGCCUAACACAUGCAAGUCGAGGGGUAACUAGAGUGAUAGCAAUAUUACUUUGGCUAGACCGGCGCACGGGUGCGUAACACGUAUGCAACCUACCUUAUACUGGGGAAUAACUUCGAGAAAUCGGCGCUAAUACCCCAUAACAUUGCGAAGAGGCAUCUCUUUGCAAUUAAAGCUCCGGCGGUAUAAGGUGGGCAUGCGUCCAAUUAGCUAGUUGGUGAGGUAACGGCUCACCAAGGCUACGAUUGGUAGGGGUUCUGAGAGGAUGAUCCCCCACACUGGGACUGCGACACGGACCUGACUCCUACGGGAGGCAGCAGUGAGGAAUAUUGCGCAAUGGACGAAAGUCUGACGCAGCCAUGCCGCGUGCAGGAUGACGGCCCUAUGGGUUGUAAACUGCUUUUGUACGGGAAUAAACCCUUCUACGUGUAGGAGGCUGAAGGUACCGUAAGAAUAAGCACCGGCUAACUCCGUGCCAGCCGCCGCCGUAA